Molecule: ribosomal RNA, 519 nt
Filed under: uncultured eukaryote
Lineage: Eukaryota
Description: SSU rRNA
Rfam family: Eukaryotic small subunit ribosomal RNA
Source: RNAcentral
AGGGCACCACCAGGAGUGGAGCCUGCGGCUUAAUUUGACUCGACACGGGGAAACUCACCCGGCCCGGACACCGGAAGGAUUGACAGAUUGAUAGCUCUUUCUUGAUUCGGUGGAUGGUGGUGCAUGGCCGUUCUUAGUUGGUGGAGCGAUCUGUCUGGUUAAUUCCGAUAACGAACGAGACUCUAGCCUAUUAAAUAGACGUCGGGUUCUCUGCACUCGACGGUCUUCUUAGAGGGACAAGGUGCUUUUAGCACCGCGAAACAGAGCAAUAACAGGUCUGUGAUGCCCUUAGAUGUCCGGGGCCGCACGCGCGCUACACUGAAGGAAGCAGCGUGUAACAACCUUGUUCUAACGAACUGGGUAACCCGUGGAACUUCCUUCAUGAUUGGGAUAGGGGUUUGCAAUUGUGCCCCUUGAACGAGGAAUUCCCAGUAAACACUAGUCAUCAGCUCGUGCUGAUUACGUCCCUGCCCUUUGUACACACCGCCCGUCGCUACUACCGAUUGAAUGGUUUAGUGA